RNAcentral lists this ribosomal RNA (472 nucleotides) under uncultured bacterium. RNAcentral's name for it is "bacterial SSU rRNA". It matches the Rfam family "Bacterial small subunit ribosomal RNA", at positions 28 to 507 of the family's 1533-position model. The record is from RNAcentral.
GACGAACGCUGGCGGCGUGCCUAAUGAAUGCGAGUCGAACGGCAACCGAGCUGCGUCUUCGGACAAGGCUCGGCUAGAGUGGCGAACGGGUGAGUAACACGUGGGCAACCUGCCUCUAAGACGGGGACAACAGCGCGAAAGUGCUGCUAAUACCCGAUGUUCUGUGAUCGCACAAGCGGUUACAGCAAAGCUUCGGCGCUUAGAGAUGGGCCCGCGGCCGAUUAGCUUGUUGGUGGGGUAACGGCCUACCAAGGCGACGAUCGGUAGCCGACCUGAGAGGGUGACCGGCCACACUGGGACUGAGACAUGGUCCAGACUCCUACGGGAGUUAGCAUCAGGGAAUCUUGCGCAAUGGGCGAAAGCCUGACGCAGCGACGCCGCGUGGGUGAUGAAGAUCUGCGGAUCGUAAAGCCCUGUCUGGAGGGAAGAAGAUCUGACUGUACCUCCGGAGGAAGCCCCGGCUAACUACGUG